RNAcentral lists this ribosomal RNA (504 nucleotides) under uncultured bacterium. RNAcentral describes it as "partial 16S ribosomal RNA". It matches the Rfam family "Bacterial small subunit ribosomal RNA", at positions 30 to 523 of the family's 1533-position model. The record is from RNAcentral.
AUUGAACGCUGGCGGCAGGCCUAACACAUGCAAGUCGAGCGGGGUGAUGGUGCUUGCACUAUCACUUAGCGGCGGACGGGUGAGUAAUGCUUAGGAAUCUGCCUAUUAGUGGGGGACAACAUCUCGAAAGGGAUGCUAAUACCGCAUACGUCCUACGGGAGAAAGCAGGGGAUCACUUGUGACCUUGCGCUAAUAGAUGAGCCUAAGUCGUGAUUAGCUAGUUGGUGGGGUAAAGGCCUACCAAGGCGACGAUCUGUAGCGGGUCUGAGAGGAUGAUCCGCCAAACUGGGACUGAGAGAGGGCCCAGAGUCCUACGGGAGGCAGCAGUGGGGAAUAUUGGACAAUGGGAGGAACCCUUAUCUAGCCAUGCCGCGUGUGUGAAGAAGGCCUUAUGGUUGUAAAGCACUUUAAGCGAGUAGGAGGCUCUUUUGGUUAAUACCGAAGAUGAGUGGACGUUACUCGCAGAAUAAGCACCGGCUAACUCUGUGCCAGCAGCCGCCGUAA